CUCUCCAGCCUACAAGUCGGGAGUCGGCGACCGCUUAGUGACGAGCGAUGAUUUUAAAGAGCAGAAUAAAAGGUUUUCCCGUGCCUGCCCCACAGCCCCUCCAGCUCGAAUAAUGGAGAACUGUCAAUGCACUCCGCGAGCGGUGGCCCAUUGUACGCAGCUGAUGGCGAGGAGGCGACUGGGGGUAGCAGGGGCUCCUUGCCCUCGUCCCUAUGCCCAAAUAAACGCGCAAACGCGCUCCCGUCUUCUGGUCAGUUAAAAGGUGAAACGAACACGAUUAAAAUAGACCAAAAGAAAAGAAAGAAAAGAAAACCUUUCUAUGUACAGAUUCUAAAUCGUACUCCCCAUACAGUCAGAGGCAGGGAGUCGAGGGCAGAGGCAGCAGGCGGAGAGAGGGAGAUAGGGCGAGGGAAGGAGAACGCGGAGAGAGACGAAGGGAGUGGGAGACCAGCGACAGCGAGCGCCAGGGCACCGCAGGCACACUGGAUGCCCAGUCCGCCGGCCCAGCCGCCCUCGGACCCUGGACCGUGCGUCGUGGGCACCAGAAACGAGACUCGGCCAAAUCCUGCCUCACCAGCAGGUAGAUGAAACUCAAGAGAAAAGGUGUGGAUAAAUGAAACUAGCCCAUGAUGAACCUGUUUUCUCCGUGACCACAAUAUUAACCAGGAUGAAUGGCGGUGGCAGUGGGCCUGCAUCACAGGUUGCAGCAGAUGUUCUCAAUAUUUCUAUUAAAAUUUCCUUAUUUCCAUAUGCAAGAGGAGCCCCAGAGCUGCAUCCUUAUGGUAGCUACCAUGCCGUGAUGUAAGCUGCCAUUCACUGGGGAGCUUUGGCAAUAGAAUUGGCUAGAUCAGGAAGCCUAUGUCAACUAUGGAACAACAACUUGCAGCUCAUCUCUAUUGAUGAUGGAAUCUCGCUAUGUCACCAGGCUGGAGUGCAGUGGCGCAACCUCGGCUCAGCGCAACAUCCGCCUCCCGGGUUCAAGUGAUUCUCCUACCUCAGCCUCCUGAGUAGCUGGGAUUACAGGAAUCUAAUGACCAUUGAACUGUGGCCAUGACUUCAAUUACAAGUAUUUUCUUCACUAAUGUCAGACUGUGGGCCUUUGUAUAUACACUUUUAACAAACUUUUUGGAAGUGCAAUACAUAUCGCAACAACUUCUCAAUGCUGAAUCAUAGUAUUGGAAGACAUUUUAAGCAACAAUUAAACUCAACUUAUUUACUACCAAUAAUGUACAUAAGUCAGCUGAAGUGAGGAUAACAUGAAUAGCACAAAUACAUUAUGAUUGCUGCCUGGCCAACAGUAAUUAUAAGAAACUGUCAGUUUUGAGAUGUGUCUUGAUUUCAGAGAUGUUAAAAAAGUUUGUAAGUUACCAUUGAUAAAAUAUGAGUUUGCUUCCACAAAUAUUCUUUCUUCUGUCCUUCUGGAACUCAAGAGUAAACAUAUAUUAGAUUUUCUCACCAUUUCAUGCAUGCUGGUUCCUAGGCUACUCUCUGAGUCAUUUUUUUUUU
Molecule: long non-coding RNA, 1506 nt
Filed under: Homo sapiens (human)
Lineage: Eukaryota; Metazoa; Chordata; Mammalia; Primates; Hominidae
Description: non-protein coding NR2F1-AS1:62
Source: RNAcentral